ACCAAUGCGAGGAAAAAGAGGAGUAAAGAUUAACCUUUUAAGAGAGGAAGAUUCAUCGGCUGAAAGAUCUUCCAAAGUAGUGAUUUUGAAGGUAGCUUUUGAGCAUUUUUAGCGAAAUUAGAGUAGUUAAAAACGGAAAAACCGUUAAAGAUAUAAGAGCUAAAGAGUGUAAACUUUUUGGAACUAAGGUGGUAACGCGCGAUGUCGUCCUUUGG
Molecule: non-coding RNA, 215 nt
Filed under: Clostridium cellulovorans
Lineage: Bacteria; Bacillati; Bacillota; Clostridia; Eubacteriales; Clostridiaceae
Description: T-box sequence
Rfam family: T-box leader
About the family: Uncharged tRNA acts as the effector for transcription antitermination of genes in the T-box leader family.
Source: RNAcentral